Molecule: ribosomal RNA, 753 nt
Filed under: uncultured bacterium
Lineage: Bacteria
Description: bacterial SSU rRNA
Rfam family: Bacterial small subunit ribosomal RNA
Source: RNAcentral
GAUGAACGCUAGCGACAGGCUUAACACAUGCAAGUCGAGGGGUAACAGGGGAGCUUGCUCCCGCUGACGACCGGCGCACGGGUGCGUAACGCGUAUACAACCUGCCUCAAAGCGAGGGAUAACCCAGAGAAGUUUGGACUAAUACCUCAUAGUAUAUAUUAGAGGCAUCUUUGAUAUAUUAAAGAUUUAUUGCUUUGAGAUGGGUAUGCGUAUGAUUAGCUAGUUGGUAAGGUAACGGCUUACCAAGGCUACGAUCAUUAGGGGUUCUGAGAGGAAGGUCCCCCACACUGGUACUGAGACACGGACCAGACUCCUACGGGAGGCAGCAGUGAGGAAUAUUGGUCAAUGGGCGAGAGCCUGAACCAGCCAAGUCGCGUGAAGGAAGACGGUCCUAUGGAUUGUAAACUUCUUUUGUACAGGAGUAAAGUGAGUUACGAGUAACUUUUUGCAAGUACUGUACGAAUAAGCAUCGGCUAACUCCGUGCCAGCAGCCGCGGUAAUACGGAGGAUGCGAGCGUUAUCCGGAUUUAUUGGGUUUAAAGGGUGCGCAGGCGGUAUUACAAGUCAGAGGUGAAAUCUUGGUGCUUAACAUUAAAAUUGCCUUUGAAACUGUAGUACUUGAGUGUAAAAGAGGUAGGCGGAAUGUGUUGUGUAGCGGUGAAAUGCUUAGAUACAACACAGAACACCGAUUGCGAAGGCAGCUUACUAUAAUACAACUGACGCUCAUGCACGAAAGCGUGGGGAUCAAACAGG